Molecule: ribosomal RNA, 301 nt
Filed under: uncultured bacterium
Lineage: Bacteria
Description: partial 16S ribosomal RNA
Rfam family: Bacterial small subunit ribosomal RNA
Source: RNAcentral
CAGCAGCCGCGGGAAAACAGAGGGUGCGAGCGUUAAUCGGAUUUACUGGGCGUAAAGCGUGCGUAGGCGGCUUCUUAAGUCGGAUGUGAAAUCCCUGAGCUUAACUUAGGAAUUGCAUUCGAUACUGGGAAGCUAGAGUAUGGGAGAGGAUGGUAGAAUUCCAGGUGUAGCGGUGAAAUGCGUAGAGAUCUGGAGGAAUACCGAUGGCGAAGGCAGCCAUCUGGCCUAAUACUGACGCUGAGGUACGAAAGCAUGGGGAGCAAACAGGAUUAGAUACCCCAGUAGUCCCUGUCUCUUAUAC